This 253-nucleotide ribosomal RNA is filed under the name uncultured bacterium. Its description in RNAcentral is "partial 16S ribosomal RNA". It matches the Rfam family "Bacterial small subunit ribosomal RNA", at positions 524 to 776 of the family's 1533-position model. The record is from RNAcentral.
GACGUAGGGGGCGAGCGUUGUCCGGAUUUAUUGGGCGUAAAGCGUGCGUAGGCGGCUGCGCAAGUCGGGUGUGAAACCCCGGGGCUCAACCCCGGAACUGCAUCCGAUACUGCGUGGCUAGAGGUAGGUAAGGGAGAUCGGAACUCCUGGUGUAGCGGUGAAAUGCGCAGAUAUCAGGAGGAACACCGGUGGCGAAGGCGGAUCUCUGGGCCUUACCUGACGCUCAGGCACGAAAGCUAGGGGAGCGAACAGG